Prinia subflava (tawny-flanked prinia) is the source of this 441-nucleotide non-coding RNA. NCBI's taxonomy places the organism in Eukaryota, Metazoa, Chordata, Aves, Passeriformes, Cisticolidae. The record is from the annotation of a RefSeq genome assembly.
AUGUGCCAGGGGGUUCAGGAUGCAGAGCCCUUCUGUUCCCUGUGCUUUUGGGAUCACACUGUGGCCUGAGCCCCUCCUCUCCUUGCGGUGCUCGCCCACAGCUCAGGUUCCCUGGUCCAGGCAGCGGUGACUCAGCAGCCAUCCUCGCUGUCAGCCAACGUGGGAGAGACCGUCAAGAUCACCUGCUCUGGUCUUAGCAGCAGCUUUGGCUAUGCUUAUGCUGGCUGGUAUCAGCAGAAGGCUCCUGGCGCUGGCCCUGUCACUGUCAUCUAUGCUGAUGAUGAGAGACCCUCGGGCAUCCCUUCGUGAUUCUCCGGAUCCAAGUCCGGCACCACGGGCACCUUAACCAUCACUGGGGUCCAAGCCGAGGACGAGGCUGUCUAUUUCUGCGGUAGCCAUGACAGCAGCAAUACUGAUGAGGAUGAUGAAGCCAAAAAGUAA